This 578-nucleotide long non-coding RNA is filed under the name Mytilus galloprovincialis (Mediterranean mussel). Lineage: Eukaryota; Metazoa; Mollusca; Bivalvia; Mytilida; Mytilidae. The record is from RNAcentral.
CUUUAGCGUAGACCAUCGCACAUUAGCGUGACCAUCGUACUUUAGCGUCCCCAUCGCACUUUCGAGUCUUACACAUAUAAGACAAGCACAAAACAUAAAACACAUAAAACAUAAAGCACAUCAUGCAAAAUAAAUAAUGUUAUCAAGCACAGCAAUUUAAUAAUAAGCACAAUUAAAGCAUAUAAGCAAACAUAAAAUGCAGAUAAACUAACAUUCAUGCAAAAGCUAUUAUAAAGCACUAAAAGUAAUUCAGCUUAAGAACACAAAUAAAAAAUUAUGCCUAAUAAUUUAAAAGCCAGAGUAUACAAGAUAAAUAAAUAAUCUGAUCUACAACUCAUUGAGAUCUGCAAGAGGAACACUGACACGAACUGCCCUCCAAAUUACCAACCAAAAUUUGAAAUUACGAAAACGAAAAACACAGAUAUUUCUACCAGUGUCUAAUUAGGAUCAGUGUCCUAUUAUACAUUGACAGUCGACCUUCCCAGUGACUAUUGAAUGUAAUGAUUCAUAUUUCAAUUAUUUAAUACAGUGGAAACAUCGGUGUUCAUGCACCCUGUUGGAAGAACCCCCCCCCCCCC